Molecule: unclassified non-coding RNA, 264 nt
Filed under: uncultured Sordariomycetes
Lineage: Eukaryota; Fungi; Ascomycota; Sordariomycetes
Description: sequence contains 5.8S rRNA gene, ITS2, 28S rRNA gene
Rfam family: 5.8S ribosomal RNA (bases 1-52)
Source: RNAcentral
AACGCAUAUUGCGCCCGCCAGUACUCUGGCGGGCAUGCCUGUUCGAGCGUCGUUUCACCACUCGGGCUCCAGGUCCCGGCGUCGAGGCACUGUGCAUCAUAUGUGCAGGCCUCCAGAUAUAGUGGCGGAUCAAUCCGCGGUCCUGAGCGUAGUAAUACGUCUCGCUUGGGCCGUGGUGCGGGCUUGCCUCGCCCCAAUUGCGGCACGCUCGACGUGCCUCGACAAGUCGACCUCGAAUCAAGCAAGACUACCCGCUGAACUUAA